GACGAACGCUGGCGGCGUGCUUAACACAUGCGAGUCGAACGGAAAGGCCCUGCUUUUGUGGGGUGCUCGAGUGGCGGACGGGUGAGUAACACGUGAGUAACCUGCCCUUGACUUUGGGAUAACUUCAGGAAACUGGGGCUAAUACCGGAUAGGAGCUCCUGCUGCAUGGUGGGGGUUGGAAAGUUUCGGCGGUUGGGGAUGGACUCGCGGCUUAUCAGCUUGUUGGUGGGGUAGUGGCUUACCAAGGCUUUGACGGGUAGCCGGCCUGAGAGGGUGACCGGCCACAUUGGGACUGAGAUACGGCCCAGACUCCUACGGGAGGCAGCAGUGGGGAAUAUUGCACAAUGGGCGGAAGCCUGAUGCAGCAACGCCGCGUGCGGGAUGACGGCCUUCGGGUUGUAAACCGCUUUCGCCUGUGACGAAGCGUGAGUGACGGUAAUGGGUAAAGAAGCACCGGCUAACUACGUG
Molecule: ribosomal RNA, 468 nt
Filed under: uncultured bacterium
Lineage: Bacteria
Description: partial 16S ribosomal RNA
Rfam family: Bacterial small subunit ribosomal RNA
Source: RNAcentral